This 1056-nucleotide long non-coding RNA is filed under the name Homo sapiens (human). Its description in RNAcentral is "DLGAP1 antisense RNA 2". The record is from RNAcentral. Lineage: Eukaryota; Metazoa; Chordata; Mammalia; Primates; Hominidae.
CUUUGACCCGAUGCUGUCAGAGAGCGUGCAUGAAGAAGAAAGUUAAUGGUAUUUCCAUUUAUAUAAGAAGCGCCUAAGAAAUGCCUGUGACGUUCGUGAACUAGUGAUUGUGAAUUCCAAAUUUGAUGCCAACUUUAUGUGUAAAGAAGCUAACUCCUGCCAACAUCGUGGCUGAAUGAACAGCUGGGACUAUGCUUAACCCAUUCCCAGCUUAUAAAAGCCCCAUGGCAGCUGCAGUGAAGCAUCAGAAAAGUAUAGUAAGAAGAAACUGAAUUUGAAGUGGAUUCUUACAAAGGAAAAAGAAAAUCACUAUUGUAACUAUACCAAAUUACUAUGUAUGUGAGCUCCCAGCUUUGACAUCAAGUCGUUACAGCCACGUAAUGGGAUUACGGCUGUGAGUUUUAGGGGUGGCUAAGCCCCUCCCUACACGUGGAGGCUGAAUCUUCACCAGACUACCAGACAAAGAGAUGAGAAGGGAGGUUGGAUGGGAAUGUUCUGGGAAAGUUUACCUCACUAUUUAAAGCCACCCAAGUCAGGGACAUCCUUUUUCUUCCUCUGGACUUUGUCAUCUGCAAGGGAUGCUGGAACUGUGGCUGCCAUCGGGGGACCACAGAAAGUACUGGCCUAAGAAGACCAGCUCAGCUGGGCGUGGUGGCCUGUAAUCCCAGCAUUUUGGGAGGAUGCGGGCAGAUCAUGUGAAGUCGGGAGUUCAAGACCAGCCUGACCAACAUGGAGAAGCCCUGUCUCUACUAAAAAUACAAAAUUAGCCGGGUGUGGUGGCGCAUGCCUGUAAUUCUAGCUACUGGGGAGGCUGAGGCAGGAGAAUUGCCUGAAUCCGAGAGGUGGAGGUUACAGUGAGCGGAGAGGGCGCCACUGCACUCCCGUCUGGGCCAAUGAGAGUGAAACUCCAUCUCAAAAAAAAAAAAAGAUGAGCUCACACUGGGGAUGACGGGUGGAAGAAAGGCCAGCUGUAAUGAACUUGCUGGUUUUGGUAAAUUCAUUGCCUUACCCUUGGACCUGGUAUUGUUUGAGAAAAUAAAUUAUUUUGCCAUCUUA